Molecule: microRNA precursor, 67 nt
Filed under: Triops cancriformis
Lineage: Eukaryota; Metazoa; Arthropoda; Branchiopoda; Notostraca; Triopsidae
Description: microRNA tcf-mir-100 precursor
Gene: tcf-mir-100
Rfam family: mir-10 microRNA precursor family
About the family: In this case the mature sequence comes from the 5' arm of the precursor.
Source: miRBase by way of RNAcentral
AACCCGUAGAUCCGAACUUGUGUGGCAACCUCGCAAUUUCUUUCGCAAGUUCGAUUCUAAGGGCGCA